CAGGAUGCCCAGUUUAUUUUGAAUUCCAGAUAAUCGAUGAAUAAACUUUUAGUAUAAGUAUAUCCCAUGCAAUGUUUGGUACAUACUUAUGCUAAAAAUUUUUUGGCGUUUAUUGGAAAUUCAAAUUUAAUUGGGUAUCAUUUA
This 144-nucleotide microRNA precursor is filed under the name Mustela putorius furo (domestic ferret). Its description in RNAcentral is "miRNA (ENSMPUG00000020596.1)". The stretch from base 46 to 97 matches the Rfam family "mir-1302 microRNA precursor family". Lineage: Eukaryota; Metazoa; Chordata; Mammalia; Carnivora; Mustelidae. The record is from RNAcentral.